GAUGAACGCUGGCGGCGUGCCUAAUACAUGCAAGUCGAGCGAACGGACGAGAAGCUUGCUUCUCUGAUGUUAGCGGCGGACGGGUGAGUAACACGUGGAUAACCUACCUAUAAGACUGGGAUAACUUCGGGAAACCGUAGCUAAUACCGGAUAAUAUUUUGAACCGCAUGGUUCAAAAGUGAAAGACGGUCUUGCUGUCACUUAUAGAUGGAUCCGCGCUGCAUUAGCUAGUUGGUAAGGUAACGGCUUACCAAGGCAACGAUGCAUAGCCGACCUGAGAGGGGGAACCGCCACACUGGAACUGAGACACGGUCCAGACUCCUACGGGAGGCAGCAGUAGGGAAUCUUCCGCAAUGGGCGAAAGCCUGACGGAGCAACGCCGCGGGAGUGAUGAAGGUUCUCGGAUCGGAAAACUCUGUUAAUAGGGAAGAACAUAUGUGUAAGUAACUGUGCACAUCUUGACGGUACCUAAUCAGAAAGGCACGGCUAACUUCGUG
Molecule: ribosomal RNA, 497 nt
Filed under: uncultured bacterium
Lineage: Bacteria
Description: partial 16S ribosomal RNA
Rfam family: Bacterial small subunit ribosomal RNA
Source: RNAcentral